RNAcentral lists this ribosomal RNA (762 nucleotides) under uncultured Peptostreptococcus sp. Its description in RNAcentral is "bacterial SSU rRNA". It matches the Rfam family "Bacterial small subunit ribosomal RNA", at positions 28 to 776 of the family's 1533-position model. Lineage: Bacteria; Bacillati; Bacillota; Clostridia; Peptostreptococcales; Peptostreptococcaceae. The record is from RNAcentral.
GAUGAACGCUGGCGGCGUGCCUAACACAUGCAAGUCGAGCGAGGGUUUGCUCAGUAUUGAGUAUUCUAAGUUUAGAAUGUUCAAUUCUGAGCAAAACCAAGCGGCGGACGGGUGAGUAACGCGUGGGUAACCUGCCCUAUACACAUGGAUAACAUACUGAAAAGUUUACUAAUACAUGAUAAUAUAUAUUUGUGGCAUCGCAGAUAUAUCAAAGUGUUAGCGGUAUAGGAUGGACCCGCGUCUGAUUAGCUAGUUGGUGAGAUAACUGCCCACCAAGGCGACGAUCAGUAGCCGACCUGAGAGGGUGAUCGGCCACAUUGGAACUGAGACACGGUCCAAACUCCUACGGGAGGCAGCAGUGGGGAAUAUUGCACAAUGGGCGAAAGCCUGAUGCAGCAACGCCGCGUGAACGAUGAAGGUCUUCGGAUCGUAAAGUUCUGUUGCAGGGGAAGAUAAUGACGGUACCCUGUGAGGAAGCCCCGGCUAACUACGUGCCAGCAGCCGCGGUAAUACGUAGGGGGCUAGCGUUAUCCGGAUUUACUGGGCGUAAAGGGUGCGUAGGUGGUCCUUCAAGUCGGUGGUUAAAGGCUACGGCUCAACCGUAGUAAGCCGCCGAAACUGGAGGACUUGAGUGCAGGAGAGGAAAGUGGAAUUCCCAGUGUAGCGGUGAAAUGCGUAGAUAUUGGGAGGAACACCAGUAGCGAAGGCGGCUUUCUGGACUGCAACUGACACUGAGGCACGAAAGCGUGGGUAGCAAACAGG